AACGAACGCUGGCGGCAUGCCUAACACAUGCAAGUCGAACGAGACCUUCGGGUGUAGUGGCGCACGGGUGCGUAACGCGUGGGAACCUGCCCUUAGGUUCGGAAUAACACCCCGAAAGGGGUGCUAAUACAGGAAAAUGUCUUCGGACCAAAGAUUUAUCGCCUUUGUUUGGGCCCGCGUUGGAUUAGCUGGUUGGUAGGGUAAAAGCCUACCAAGGCGACGAUCCAUAGCUGGUCUGAGAGGCUGAUCAGCCACACUGGGACUGAGACACGGCCCAGACUCCUACGCGAGGCAGCAGUGGGGAAUACUGGACUAUGGGCGAAAGCCUGAUCCAGCUAUGCCGCGUGAGUGAUGAAGGCCUUAGGGUUGUAAAGCUCUUUUACCCGGGAUGAUAAUGACAGUACCGGGAGAAUAAGCUCCGGCUAACUCCGUG
Molecule: ribosomal RNA, 433 nt
Filed under: uncultured bacterium
Lineage: Bacteria
Description: partial 16S ribosomal RNA
Rfam family: Bacterial small subunit ribosomal RNA
Source: RNAcentral